GGCCUUCUAUCAUGUUCGUGCUGUCGAUGCAAUAUUUUGGUGAGCCGAUAUUGAUGCCCGUUGGGCGCCCGAUCUAAAGGACUCGGCCGCGUGUAUAGCCGACCCUCGGUCGGAUCACACAACCCGAGUUCCGGGCUGCCCACCUUUUAUCGAACGGGCUCUCAAAAGCGCAUCGCCACGGCAUUGCGGUGGAAGGCCU
Molecule: non-coding RNA, 199 nt
Filed under: Planctomycetota bacterium
Lineage: Bacteria; Pseudomonadati; Planctomycetota
Description: Planctomycetes bacterium (sediment metagenome) 6S RNA
Rfam family: 6S / SsrS RNA
About the family: E. coli 6S RNA was the first non coding RNA to be sequenced, but its function was unknown until recently.
Source: RNAcentral